Molecule: unclassified non-coding RNA, 288 nt
Organism: Callithrix jacchus (white-tufted-ear marmoset)
Lineage: Eukaryota; Metazoa; Chordata; Mammalia; Primates; Cebidae
Rfam family: Metazoan signal recognition particle RNA
About the family: The signal recognition particle (SRP) is a universally conserved ribonucleoprotein. It is involved in the co-translational targeting of proteins to membranes.
Source: Ensembl
GCUGGGCACAGUACCUAUAGUCCCAGCUACUGAGGAGGCUAAGUUGGGCAGAUCACUUGAGCCUAGGAGUUCUGGGCUGUACUAUGCUGACUUGGUAUCUGCACUAAGACUGACAUUCAUAUGGUAACCUCCCAGAAGUGGGGGACUAUUAGUUUGCCUAAGGAGGGGUAAAGUGGCCCAGGUUGGAAACGGAGCAGGUCAAAACUCCUAUACUGAUGAGUACUGGGACCACACCUGUGAAUAGCCACUACACUCCAGCCUGGGCAACAUGGUGAGACCCUGCCUCUU